This 401-nucleotide unclassified non-coding RNA is filed under the name Hevea brasiliensis (rubber tree). Lineage: Eukaryota; Viridiplantae; Streptophyta; Magnoliopsida; Malpighiales; Euphorbiaceae. The record is from RNAcentral.
CAACCCCAGCAGCAACCUAGUCCACAGCAAAUGAGCCAGCGAACCCCAAUGAGUCCACAGCUGAGUUCUGGAGCAAUCCAUGCAUUAAGUGCUGGUAAUCCAGAAGCUUGUCCUGCUAGUCCGCAGUUGAGCUCUCAGACCCUUGGCUCAGUUGGAAGCAUCACAAAUUCUUCAUUGGAGCUCCAAGGUGUAAACAAAAGCAAUUCUGUUAAUAAUGCGUAGUAAGUUGGACUUCCUGUUUCGAAGCUACAUCCUCUGAGCUAUUCUUUGACGGAAACUAAAAGCUAUGCUGCCACCAUCACAUUGAAGCUAGUUGCAAGGAGAAAUUUCCUCUUUCGUAUAACUGAUACUAAUAUAAUUUGGGGGAUAAAAUAGUAUGUGUCAUGAUUAUUGCUUGCCUG